RNAcentral lists this long non-coding RNA (778 nucleotides) under Pollicipes pollicipes. Its description in RNAcentral is "uncharacterized LOC119089599". Lineage: Eukaryota; Metazoa; Arthropoda; Thecostraca; Pollicipedomorpha; Pollicipedidae. The record is from RNAcentral.
CUGACAGAAAAGUUACCCCGUUCCUGCACAACAACGCGUCGCGGUCUGUCGGUGCGCAGAACGGCCGUCAAAUACCAGGCAGCGCUUGUCACGGCCGCGACCCGGCUGCCGUCAUUGCAUAAAGCCAAGCCGACGGCGCGGCGCGAGCAGAGUUCAGCCAUGUUUCGCGACACGACCGCGGCCCUGGCAGCAUGGGUGGUGGUGCUUUUGAUGGUGACGGCGAACGUCGCCUCGGGUGCGUCCACAACUGACGUCAUCUGCCACUACGACGACAUCGGUCCUACGGUGCGGUGCCGCCCUGUGCCUGACGCCUGCCGCAGUCAUGCGGAGUGCGGCCCCGGCUACGGCUGCUGCUAUUACGUGUGCAACAAGUCAUGCCGUCCCACCUGUUCGGCCCAGUGCGAAGCGGGCACACGCUGCACACUGGACGCGGGCGGCACCACGGCCUCCUGUCAACCGUUCGUUCCUAUCUAUCGCUGAAUCGUAUGGCGUUAAAGCUGAACUUAAACGGUGAAUGUCACGGCUGCUGUCAUUAUGCGAUCGCGAUGAGGAUCUGAUCAGAGGUUAAACGGAACAUAUUGCUGACCUGCCUCCGCGUCCACCAGUGAGAGGCUGCGAGUACAUGCAACGCGGGUGUAGAAUGUAGCUGCACAACAAGAGUGAAUAAUAUGGGCUUCAUUGGACUUUCACAGUGGGUUAAUGCACUGAAAUUUUCUAAGAUUUCUAAUGACUGUGUGAGUUUCUAAUAUAUACCUUGUUCUCCGACAAGGAAAGGGUU